GUCGCUACUACCGAUUGGAUGAUCCGGUGAGGUCUUGGGAACUGGCUCACACAGUCUGACUGUGCUGGGUUGAAAAACUUGAUCAAACCUUAUUAUCUAGAGGAAGGUG
This 109-nucleotide ribosomal RNA is filed under the name uncultured eukaryote. Its description in RNAcentral is "partial small subunit ribosomal RNA". The record is from RNAcentral.